ACUUAUCCAAAGUCCCUUUGAUAGGGGCCACAUUCCCGAGAGGGUGCGAGACCUGUGCGGAUAGUGGAGCAAGCUGUACGAUCAUACCUUGGAGUCGGGUUGCUUGAAAGUGCAGCCUAAAGUGGGUGAUAAACUUCAUCUAAGGCUAAAUAUAGACGCGAAUUCGAUAGCAAACAAGUACUGUGAAGGAAAGUUGCAAAGAACUUUGAAGAGAGUUCAAGAGAACGUGAAAUCGCUGGAGUGGAAACGGAGAGUUGACGUAGUCCGGUGACUAAGUUUGCCGAAAUCGCUUAAUUGUGAUUAAGGUGAAUGUAUGUUGCCUAUGGCUGCGCUGACAGCACUGGUUGUACGUUCCGAACCGUUUUCGUUGCCCAAUUUUCGAAUUGGUGUCUUGUUUACGGGUAGGUUUGUUAUGACUAGUGUUUUAUCCUGUUUUAUGCAGGGUGUCAGUGUGAAGGUCGACCACCUCUCCGACCCGUCUUGAAACACGGACCGAGGAGUGUAACUUGUACGCGAGUCAAAGGGUGGAAAACCCCAAGGCGCAAUGAAAGUAAAGGUCGGUUAACCGACUGACAUGGGAUCCGUUUCGUUUUGAAGCGGCGCACCAUGGCCCUGUCUUGUCUGCUUGCAGAUGGGCAGCGGUAGAGCGUACAGGUUGCGACCCGAAAGAUGGUGAACUAUGCCUGAGCAGGACGAAGUCAGAGGAAACUCUGGUGGAAGUCCGUAUCGGUUCUGACGUGCAAAUCGAUCGAUAGACUUGGGUAUAGGGGCGAAAGACUAAUCGAACCAUCUAGUAGCUGGUUCCUCCGAAGUUUCCCCCAGGAUAGCUGGAGUUCAUUGCGGUUAUAUCCGGUAAAGCGAAUGAUUAGAGGACUUGGGGUCGAAACGACCUCAACCUAUUCUCAAACUUUCAAUGGGUAUGUUGUCUCGGUUUCUUUGUUGAACUGUUGACACGAACGCGAACUCCAAGUGGGCCAUUUUUGGUAAGCAGAACUGGCGCUGUGGGAUGAACCAAACGUUGGGUUAAGGUGCCUAACUUUUCGCUCAUGAGACCCCAUAAAAGGCGUUGGUUGAUAUAGACAGCAGGACGGUGGCCAUGGAAGUCGGUACCCGCUAAGGAGUGUGUAACAACUCACCUGCCGAAUCAACUAGCCCUGAAAAUGGAUGGCGCUUGAGCGAGAGACCUAUACCCAACCGUUGCUGGCUUGUGCGUGCCUGUCGCCUGGCUGCAACGAGUAGGAGGUCGUGGCGGUUGCGUCGAAGGUUUUGGGCGUAGGCCCAACUGGAGCUUCCGUCAGUGCAGAUCUCGGUGGUAGUAGCAAAUAUUUAAGUUCGAUCCUUGAAGACUGAAGUGGAGAAGGGUUCCACGUGAACAGUAGUUGAAUGUGGGUCAGUCGAUCCUAAGAUACUGGCUUAUGCCUUGUAUCAUCGAGAGGGAAAAGUCUCUUUUCUCUCGGAUAUCAAAAGGGAAUAGGGUUAAUAUUCCCUAACGCAGACACAGAGAUUGUGGCUCUUACGAGUCACUUGCGCGGUAACGCAUUCGAACUUGGUUACGUCGCUCAGAGACCGAGCUAGAGUUCUCUUCUCUAGUUAAGGAACGGACUCCCUGGAAUCGGUUCAGCCGUAGAUAGGGACGUUGUUUCCGUAAAGCAUCGCGGUUUCUGUGAUGUCUCGUGUUCUCUGGACGGCCCUUGAAAACCAAGGGAGGCUAUUAAUCUGUGCUGCAUCGUACCGAUAUCCGCAUCAGGUCUCCAAGGUGAACAGCCUCUAGUCGAUAGAAUAAUGUAGGUAAGGGAAGUCGGCAAAUUAGAUCCGUAACUUCGGGAAAAGGAUUGGCUCCAGUGACCGGGUCGGUUGGCUUGUUAACUGAUGCUUGUGCGGUUUCGUCCGUGGCUGGCUGAUACUAACGUUGAUGCUGGACUAGUGACAUGACUGCCUUGUGGACGUUUUCAGGUGUGUGCUUUGUCUUCGGACUUAGUAUCCUGAUCGACCAUCAAAACGGUCGAACUGGAACUGGUACGGACUCGGGGAAUCCGACUGUCUAAUUAAAACAGAGGAGACAGAUGGUCCUUGCGGACGUUUACUGUCUCUGAUUUCUGCCCAGUGCUCUGAAUGUUAAAUCGUAGUAAUUCGAGUAAGCGCGGGUAAACGGCGGGAGUAACUAUGACUCUCUUAAGGUAGCCAAAUGCCUCGUCAGCUAACUACUGACGCGCAUGAAUGCCACUCAGAGGAUGUGCCCUCGGGUACAAUCCUCAGGGUAUCCGCCUCCUCGCGGUGAGUGGCGGGCAACGGAGAGCUGGGCUCCGGCGAAAGGAUACCCAAAGCACCUACGCUGUCUGAAAUAAGACGUAGUAGGGCAAACUUACACGCUGAAUACAGGCAACCUCAUCGCUGACCGACGCAAUCGCUGCGCGGGAGAUAGAGGAGCAGCCUAUAAUCAAAAGAAGAUUCCUCCAGGAAGUACCAUGUAAGCAGCCACUUGGUACUGGAGGAGAACUGCUAUUGGCAGUCAAGUAGACUCUUCAGUUAAACCUGAAAGAGCUUCUCGGUUAACUUCCUGGAAGUUGGAUGGACGCAACUUCGCCGUAAGUCCCGCUAAAGGCUACCAUAAGCCGAAUGGGCAGUAAUGGGGAAGGAGUGCAGGGGCUGGUUCGCUGCACUCACGCUUGGUCGUCCUCAAUGGAAAGGAGACGCAGAGUGAUACUCUGUGAAAAUACGACUGCGUAAGUAACAGUCGACCAUAAGGUCACUUUCGUAGCCACACGACCUCGCACUGUUUAGCGGUGUACACCAAGCCACGCUCAAGGGGCCUCUGGUGGUUCGUGUCAUGCGCGAGAGCCACCUCAUGGUGU
This 2852-nucleotide ribosomal RNA is filed under the name Nippostrongylus brasiliensis. RNAcentral describes it as "eukaryotic LSU rRNA". The stretch from base 1 to 2293 matches the Rfam family "Eukaryotic large subunit ribosomal RNA". Lineage: Eukaryota; Metazoa; Nematoda; Chromadorea; Rhabditida; Heligmosomidae. The record is from RNAcentral.